AGGUGUAUUGUGCGAUCGAAUGUGCGCUUAUGCGAGCACCGUAUCCCCUGGCUCCGUCUCCGGUAACUACAUACAACCUAAUUCGUUGUCGUAUUUUUUAUUUUGUUGCUGUGCUGUUGGGUUUUUGCGUUAAACAUUUUUCACAGUCAAACAAAUAUUUAGUGUGUAAAUUAAAGGAGAAAAAAGCGAGCGAGUGGCGCAUUUCGACCAAUAAAUAAAAUAAUAUUCAAAAUGGCCACUGAAUCGCAACAAAUCGUGUGACAAAAUAUUCAAAUAACAACACCGCGAAAAAAAAGUGAAAGAAAGACGAAAUUUUAAGCACGCUCUGGUUUUUCCAACGAGAAAAGAGUGAAGAAAGAAAAAAAAUUAUUUAUGUGAAAUAUUUGGUUGUCGUGGUUGUCGAAAAAAAAGGUGUUUGUGUUGAGAUUUAGAUUGUGUUGCUGCAAAUUGGUCGUCGGUGAAGUCGGAGAGUUCAAUUGUGUGUGUAUGUGCCUCUUUCUCGACAGUACCUAAGCUCAUUAAAAUAAAAACCUUGAGUUGAUUGAUUUCACAACGAUCUUCCAAAAAAGGAUUUUUCUACACCAAAAAGAAAUCUCUCUCUCCUUCUCUCUCUUUCUCUCGUGUUGAAGAAAUCGUGCGACACGAAGUUUCGCGCGCGCGAGCCAACCGAAGAAAAACACACACAGAAUAGAAACAGAAAAAAAAAGAUUUACGAUAAUAAGUGCCAGUGACUUUGACUUGGUGAUUGUUUUGCCCCGCCGUACUCGUCGUCAAUUGUCUGUUGCAUUAUUUAGUUUGAGGCGUUCAGCGAAUUGGCUGAGCUAACGAAUAAGUCCGCACCGCAAAAACGAUGCAACUCCGAAGUGUGAUAAAAAUGAACGAAUAAUUCUCUCUGGCAGUUUUAUCAUUUCUUGUUGUUUUUUCCGUUCAACGGAAUUUUUUUGUGAUAUCAAAAGGGUUUUUAUUUUGGGUGUAUUUUUCUUUUUGUGUCGUGUAAUAAAUUGUCUCUGAAUACAGACAGAGAGAAUAGAAUCGUAUAGACGUAUGAUCGUUCGUAUCGAUCGUUCCACAUUCUCUGUCUCUCGUGUAUGAUAUACGUGUGUUUACCAGCGUUUAAAAUCAUUAUUGUAUCGAUCUAAUUUCGUAUAUUGUGUAUGUGUUGCAAUUCUUCUUCUUAUUUUUCAUUUCGUAUUGCGGCUGAGGCUCUUGCCGCUGAAAAGACAUAAAACUAUAAAAACCACCUCAACGAAACGCGUGAACAUUUAUUCAAACACGUAUCAUAAUUAUUUUAAAAGCGAAUGAUUAACUUAACACAAGCCGUAAACAAAGGCCCAAGACCACGACGAGAGAGAGUCACUAGAAAAAUUAUAGAAAAUUAUUCAUCGCUUUGGGCAUUCGGCACAAGAAAAACAAUUUAUUUAUUUUUUUUUUUCUGUGCGAACGGAACAAGUAACAAGCCAUCAUUUUCGGGAGUUCAGCUGCUUCGGACGGAAUUUUGUGUUUUGUGUUUAAACCGAACUUUGGGAUUGGCAAAUGUGAACAGUCAUUUCAUUGAAUUCUAUGGCCAAGUGAAUUUGUUUUGACGCAUGAUUUGUAAAUAAGAUAACUGGAACGUGAAACAAACAAACAUCAACACAAAGAAUCCGAAAGGAAAUAAAACACGCUGCUGAUUUUGUGAGUAUCAUUAGCGAGUAUCUAUGAAUGUAACCGAUGGCGCGUGGUAUAAUGGCUGAUAAGGGAGAUAAAGUGGUGUCGCCAACAACACCGGAGCACAAUGAAUCAAAAUCACAAACCGCGCCCGAUCCCUCAAAUCAUCAACCUACGGCGCCGUGUUCCUGUACCAAGAUCUCGACAAUGCAAUUGUUCUACGAAAUGAAGCAAAAAUUCCCAACUGUGCCGGACAAUGUGGUGUGUGAAUUUGUCGGACAAAAUUGUCACAAUCGUUCGGCUGUGAUCGAUGGCCUGGAAGACUAUCCAAAUUCGGCGAAUGUUUAUCCACAAGCGUUGCGCAAUCAAUCGACAAAAAAGAAAGCGCAACCGAACAGUGGUGCGGCGACAGCAGCGACGACGGCCAAAUCAAAUGAUGCAACAAAAGAAAAUGAUACAUCAGCCGCAAAUGGUGUCCCAUUGAAGCCACCAAACACUCUAUAUCUGACGAAUUUAAAUUAUUUUACGCGACCAAUAAAUCGGCCAGUGAACCGGCCGACACGACAAGCACCACCACCGCCCAUCGCUGCCGCCACUUCACCACAUCAACAACAUCAGAAAUCUCUAUGCCAUCAACCGCAACUACCACUGAAUCUCUCCGUUAAUUUGAUCGUUUCACCCGUGUCACAAGCCUCAUCACAAUCACAACAACCACUUCCACAUUACAGUUUCACAUUGCAUCAGCCGAGCGGCAACAGAACCGGACACACAACAACAACAAACUAUUCACAUCCCGAAAACGAACUGACCACCACAACGACCGGAACAAUAAACGAUAAUACGGAUGGGCCGCAGUUGAGAUUUAUGAGCAGCGCAUAUGAUGCUGAAAUAGGGUAUCAAAGUCGAUUAGAAGUUACCGUGGCUGGACCAAAUCAACCCAGCGUCGCUGGCAGCUAUGAAUUUUUAAAAGAAACUGAAACCGUAAACCAUCAAGUAUUGUGUAAACAGAAGCUAGUGCUUGAAUUGGAAAAGGAUCGAAAGCGUUUGGAGCGUAUGCAACGUGAAUUGCAGGCCAUUCAAGCACCAAUACCGGACGGUGGACUCGAUGGAUUGAAUUUGGACAUUGACAAAUUGCGACACGAUUGCAAACUAAUGGCUAGCCUAGUGGAAGAAGCGGGUCCUUCAUACGCCUUGGGUGAGACAAAUGAAGCGUUCUAUCGAAAUAUUUAUACGGGACAGCAAUUGCCGAUGCAACAGCGGCAACCAUUGCGACCACAUCGGCCAGCGCCAACACCAUACCAACAGCAUCGUCCCAAAAAUCGUUCAACCGCCGGCACCGAUCCACGCUUCAUCUCAACGUCAACGAUAACACAGUCACCACUCAGCGAUUCACAUUUUGGUGAAUCGAAUGAGGACGCCGGUUGGACAUGUGAUUUGUGUACAUUCCAGAAUAAGUAUACGCAACGAUCGUGCGAAGCGUGUACGAUGCCAUUCUUAUCAGCCGGUAAUCAAAUGGGUUAUAAUAACGGAACAUUUGUGCAGCCAUCGCCACCAUAUCCACUGACACACUAUAUGCCAAUGCCAAUACAUUCGUUGCCUUAUCAUAAUAAUAACAUUAAUAAUAAUAACAUGCCUUACUUAUAUUAUCAACCGGCAUCAAUGCCACCGAUACCCCCGCAAUUCUAUUCAACGCCAUCACUGGCCGAUUCACAAUCCAUGCACUCGCGAUUCUGAUGAAACUGCGACCGCAUCGUUUGUUCUUUUUUAUUUUGCCUCUAAAUAUCGUUUUAACUGGAAUAUGUCGUUUUCGGAUUUGUUCGCGUUGCAGCCGAGGGAAGAGACGAUGGAAUUGGAGGGAAAAGAGCAAGAAGGAGACGAUGGAGUUGAAGGAAAAAGAGGAAGAUGGAAUUGCAUUGUGGAAAGAGACAUCGUUCGACCGAUACAAAAUCGAUGGCCGCCUAACGUGUAUUCGUGUCAUUGACCAUCCACGACAAAUUUUCCCCACACACAAACCCUCGCUGUUUUUGUUUUUGUUUUAACUGGAUAAUGUUCCCUCACUUUUUGUUCUGAACAAUUAAUAACCGUGAAAGCUUUAACUCUCCGCUUGCACCACAAACAAACACAAACCAAAAUCCAUUUAACCGUUGUUUGAUUUUGAAACUGCGCUUGCAAAAUGCCACACAUUGAUUCUCUGAAUGGAAUUCGUUAACAGUGAUGUCAGCGAACGGUGAAGAUAUUCACAUUCAUUUGUUUCCUGGUCAAAAUAGUGUAAUACAUUCGUGGGUUGUUUCCUGAAAAAUUAACCAAAUCGUGCCAACGAAAUAGAGCGAGAUUAAGUGAAAAACAGAGGAGAAAUCAGGUGAAAGAAAGAAGAAAUCAGGUCGAAGGAAGGAAAAAAAAAGACGGUCACAACUCUUUCACUCUAGACGUCCGAAAAGAGUGUAAAGAGAUAGACAGGAUGGAAGAAUAGAAGAGCCAACGAGCAUAAAAACAUCAAGACAGUAAAACAUCGAUAGAGGACGGCCAUCGAAUCACGCGCGAAUGUGUGCAAAUGAUACGCUUAAUUGUUGAGAGAACAGAGGAGAGAAAAAAUACACUUAAAAACCAACAAAUAGGGAUCUUAGGAAUCUAAACCAAAUUGUUAUAUCUAUAUCUAUAUUUAUAUUAUUAAUAUAUAAAGAAACACUUUUGGAAAUGAUUAUUUAUAAAAUAGGACAUUUUACGGUUUUCCAUCGGUUUUUACUUACGAAUCGAUAAACAGUUGAAUUGAAAACUAUAGACAAGUUGCAAGCAUGAAAUUAUUGUCAGUCCGUUCAACGGCCAAUACACAUAGAUUUUCACGAAUUUAUUGUUUUUUUUUUCUUGUGAAUAGUCCAAAUCGAUCGUGAAUCAUUUUUAUGCUAUUAAGAAAGAAAAUAAAGUCAAAGUUUUAUCAAAAUGAAA
Molecule: RNA transcript, 4590 nt
Organism: Sitodiplosis mosellana (orange wheat blossom midge)
Lineage: Eukaryota; Metazoa; Arthropoda; Insecta; Diptera; Cecidomyiidae
Gene: Tab2
Exons: 7
Source: RefSeq, a predicted model, not a curated record